CGACCGGCGCACGGGUGCGUAACACGUAUGGAACUUGCCCUGUACUGGGAGAUAGCCCGGAGAAAUCCGGAUUAAUAUCCCAUAAUAUCCCGAGUGGCAUCACUUGGGUGUAAAAGCUCCGGCGGUACAGGAUAGCCAUGCGUCCGAUUAGCUAGUUGGUGAGGUAACGGCUCACCAAGGCUACGAUCGGUAGGGGGCCUGAGAGGGUUAUCCCCCACACUGGUACUGAGACACGGACCAG
RNAcentral lists this ribosomal RNA (241 nucleotides) under uncultured bacterium. RNAcentral describes it as "partial 16S ribosomal RNA". It matches the Rfam family "Bacterial small subunit ribosomal RNA", at positions 92 to 334 of the family's 1533-position model. The record is from RNAcentral.